This is a long non-coding RNA of Phasianus colchicus (ring-necked pheasant), 1771 nucleotides long. The record is from Ensembl. NCBI's taxonomy places the organism in Eukaryota, Metazoa, Chordata, Aves, Galliformes, Phasianidae.
GGGAAAGUGGAGCAGAGACAGCACGCAGCAUGGGGCUCUGGAAACUUUAAGGCCGGGGACAUUCUUUGGAAGGGUUUUGUGUGCGAUGCAAAGCGAUCCGUUUGAAUUAGGCACAAUUAUCUAACUUAUUAACAAAUCCCACAAUGAGGUGAGGAGAAGCGCAUAAUCAAAAGUCUAGUUUAAGCCCCUAAUUCUGAUCUAGAGUCCGCAUGUCUAACUGUCAGGGUCCCCCGGCCGGCCGUAACGAGCCCCGCCCGCGCUAACGAGGCAGCGACUCCCAGGUGCCGCGGAGCCGCGGCCGGCCGAGCACAGCUGCGCCUCGUCGGCGGGCCGGGGCGGGUCCGCCCCAAUUAAGCUCCUCCGGAGGCCGGGGGAAGCCACGAGAGCUACUGGGAUUCAUUGCGUGCGAGAGCCGGAGUGGGUUCUGUUCCUUUGUCCGGUCCUUACGCCGCUGGGGCUGAAAAGCACCGCGAGGGGCUGUCUUUAAAACGAGACCUUGGGUUUCUAUGUCAUGUUCUUUGUUUGUUGUGUUUUGUUUCAGGCUGCAGUGAGAUAUCUCCCGGUGAAGAUCAGCCCGAACCGGUGAGCCGUUCCGGUAGCAACGUUCGAGGCCGUCCGUCCGCAGCAGGAGGCCGUCGGGCUCUCGCCGCGCUCCGUUCGGGGCCGGUGCGGGGCUCCCGCCGAGCAAACCCGGCUUCUCGGAGCCGGCUGAGCCAAGGCUGCAGCAGAACCUCUUGUCAGCCCGAACCGCUGAAAUGGUGGAAGCGGUGAGUGUUUGAGAUUCACUAGGUAAGUUCUCUCUUCUUGGAGCUCGUGUAGGGCUGCCGCUCAGCUGCUUCUGUUUCUUAAGGAUCAGCGCGGUGCUGCUGCUGGGCUCCCACUUAGCCAUUUAAGAAGGGCCGGUGCCCGAGAAGGGAUUUGUGGGUGCUUCAGUCUCUUCCGCUUCCAGCAAUGGGAGUGAGCGGGAUGGGACCAUGCGUUUUUCCCCCUUUCCUUACUUGUAAUUUCAGGAGGGUGAUCUCAUUUCUAUCAUGGAGAUGUGGAGGGACAGCUUGCACGACUGGAAUGCUGUUGUGGGUGGCUGUGUUAUUUAUAGGAGAAAUGGACCGGUGAAAGAACUGGAACAUACUGAACUCUGCCAAGGGAUGAAUGAAGAACUAGAGGAGCUCUGGCGUGUGAGGCUCAAGAGGCAGUAAAUGUGGGUAAUGUCUCGGGGUGUAUUGGUUGCAUACCAGAAUGAGGAAGUUGAGAAGUCCUCCUGCACACAGUUGAAAGUAACCUCACGGCUGUGGGCGAGAGUUCUUGAACCACCCUGUCAGUUGUUAGGAAAGCAAUGCUGCUAGGCAUACCUCGUUCCAGGAGGUUCCUGCAGUGUGUCAAAGAAAGUUUCUGAUGCAGGCAAUGGAGGAGUCAAUGAGGAGAGGGGCACUGCCAGAGCUUGUUCUCUAUAUUGAGUAAUGACCAGCUGGGGAUGUGAAGACAGGGUAUGGCCUUGAGAUAACAUGUGGAAGAUGUGGAGCAAUAUGUAAGAUUGAAACAAUGGACUUUGAGGGAGACAACUUUGUCAUCUUGAAGGACCACCUUGGGUUAGAUCAUCAGAGGUUCCUUAUGCUCAUGCAUGAAUUCCUCUGUGCUCAGGAGGGGUGCAUCCCAAAGAGUAAGAAAUAGAGCAGAAAUGGCAGGAGAUCUGGAUUGGUGAAUGAGGAGCUUGUGGAUAAACUCAAAGGGGAAAAGGAAGGCUAAGGCCCAUGUAGUAUCACCUCUGGGGAGG